Long non-coding RNA from Trichoplusia ni (cabbage looper), 425 nucleotides. RefSeq lists it as uncharacterized. NCBI's taxonomy places the organism in Eukaryota, Metazoa, Arthropoda, Insecta, Lepidoptera, Noctuidae. The record is from RefSeq and is a predicted model, not a curated record. The transcript is spliced from 2 exons.
UUCUUUGUGAAGUUUUUUGUAUAUCUCACGUAUACUUAAAACAAAUAUUUUCCGGGUGUGCAGUUUAAGUGAUUGGCCACAAAGUAUUAACUAACUUAUAUUUACUGAGCGAUUAAAGCUUUUAUGAAUCGGUUUUUAAAAGUGUUACAGGUAAGUUAGUGUGGCCACGAAUGUUCAGUGAAUUGUCAAGGUGCAGUGUGAGUAAUACCAAGACAUUGCACAACUUUUAGGAAUGUACACAACUACGCACAAAUAAGAUAUAGCAAGGAUGGGGGUUCGGAGAAAAAGCGUUUUAUUUACAACUGUACUGCUAGCAUGCAUCAACUGCAGCUAUGGAUGUGCAGUCACAGGGGCCAUCACUCCGACUCUAUUUCUGACUAGUUUUAGAGAUGUAGACAGAGGCACAAUUAUUGACACCGGUACAA